Molecule: ribosomal RNA, 354 nt
Filed under: filamentous cyanobacterium CCP2
Lineage: Bacteria; Bacillati; Cyanobacteriota
Description: Bacterial small subunit ribosomal RNA
Rfam family: Bacterial small subunit ribosomal RNA
Source: Rfam by way of RNAcentral
AACAUGGAGAGUUUGAUCCUGGCUCAGGAUGAACGCUGGCGGUCUGCUUAACACAUGCAAGUCGAACGGAGUGCUUCGGCACUUAGUGGCGGACGGGUGAGUAACGCGUGAGAAUCUGCCCUUAGGAGGGGGAUAACGACUGGAAACGGUCGCUAAUACCCCAUAUGCCGAGAGGUGAAAAGUUUUAUCGCCUGAGGAUGAGCUCGCGUCUGAUUAGCUAGUUGGUAGGGUAAGAGCCUACCAAGGCGACGAUCAGUAGCUGGUCUGAGAGGAUGACCAGCCACACUGGGACUGAGACACGGCCCAGACUCCUACGGGAGGCAGCAGUGGGGAAUUUUCCGCAAUGGGCGAAAG